This 275-nucleotide ribosomal RNA is filed under the name uncultured bacterium. Its description in RNAcentral is "partial 16S ribosomal RNA". It matches the Rfam family "Archaeal small subunit ribosomal RNA", at positions 473 to 747 of the family's 1478-position model. The record is from RNAcentral.
AAACCAGCACCUCAAGUGGUCAGGAGGUUUAUUGGGCCUAAAGCAUCCGUAGCCUGAUCUAUAAGUUUCCGGUUAAAUCCAUAUGCUCAACAUAUGGGCUGCCGGAAAAACUGUAGAUCUAGGGAGUGGGAGAGGUAGACGGUACUCGGUAGGAAGGGGUAAAAUCCUUUGAUCUAUUGAUGACCACCAGUGGCGAAGGCGGUCUACCAGAACACGUCCGACGGUGAGGGAUGAAAGCUGGGGGAGCAAACCGGAUUAGAUACCCCGGGUAGUCC